This 205-nucleotide ribosomal RNA is filed under the name Bacillus velezensis. Its description in RNAcentral is "partial 16S ribosomal RNA". It matches the Rfam family "Bacterial small subunit ribosomal RNA", at positions 1 to 201 of the family's 1533-position model. Lineage: Bacteria; Bacillati; Bacillota; Bacilli; Caryophanales; Bacillaceae. The record is from RNAcentral.
UUUAUCGGAGAGUUUGAUCCUGGCUCAGGACGAACGCUGGCGGCGUGCCUAAUACAUGCAAGUCGAGCGGACAGAUGGGAGCUUGCUCCCUGAUGUUAGCGGCGGACGGGUGAGUAACACGUGGGUAACCUGCCUGUAAGACUGGGAUAACUCCGGGAAACCGGGGCUAAUACCGGAUGGUUGUCUGAACCGCAUGGUUCAGACA